Molecule: ribosomal RNA, 457 nt
Filed under: uncultured bacterium
Lineage: Bacteria
Description: partial 16S ribosomal RNA
Rfam family: Bacterial small subunit ribosomal RNA
Source: RNAcentral
GACGAACGCUGGCGGCGUGCUUAACACAUGCAAGUCGAACGGUAAGGCCCUUCGGGGUACUCGAGUGGCGGACGGCUGAGUAACGCGUGGGAACGUGCCCCAAAGUGAGGGAUAACGCACCGAAAGGUGUGCUAAUACCGCAUAUGGUCUUCGGAUUAAAGCUUCGGCGCUUUGGGAGCGGCCCGCGUACGAUUAGAUAGUUGGUGAGGUAAUGGCUCACCAAGUCGACGAUCGUUAGCUGGUCUGAGAGGAUGAUCAGCCAGACUGGGACUGAGACACGGCCCAGACUCCUACGGGAGGCAGCAGUAAGGAAUCUUCCACAAUGGGGGCAACCCUGAUGGAGCAACGCCGCGUGCAGGAUGAAGGUUUUCGGAUCGUAAACUGCUUUUAUAAGUGAAGAAUAUGACGGUAACUUAUGAAUAAGGAUCGGCUAACUACGUGCCAGCCGCCGCCGUAA